This 706-nucleotide ribosomal RNA is filed under the name uncultured marine eukaryote. RNAcentral's name for it is "SSU rRNA". It matches the Rfam family "Eukaryotic small subunit ribosomal RNA", at positions 616 to 1328 of the family's 1831-position model. The record is from RNAcentral.
CGGUUAAAAAGCUCGUAGUUGGAUUUCUGUUGAGGGCGUCCGGUCCGUACCACGUACGCGUAUCUGGGUCGCGCUCGGCAUCCUCUCGAAGAACGGUUCUCGCGCUUGAUUGCGUGGUCCGGGUUUCGGGACUUUUACUUUGAGGAAAUUAGAGUGUUCACGGCAGGCAAUUGCCCGGAUACAUUAGCAUGGAAUAAUACUAUAGGAUUUUGGUUCUAUUUUGUUGGUUUCUAGGACUAAAAUAAUGAUUAAUAGGGACAAUUGGGAGCAUUCGUAUCAACACGCUAGAGGUGAAAUUCUUGGAUUGUGUUGCGACGAACUACUGCGAAAGCAUUUGCCAAGGAUGUUUUCAUUGAUCAAGGACGAAAGUAAGGGGAUCGAAGAUGAUUAGAUACCGUCGUAGUCUUUACCACAAACUAUGCCAACUAGAGAUGGGGCAUCGUUCAAUACGACUUGCUCCGCACCUUAUGAGAUAUCAAAGUCUUUGGGUUCCGGGGGGAGUAUGGUCGCAAGUCUGGAACUUAAAGGAAUUGACGGAAGGGCACCACCAGGAGUGGAGCCUGCGGCUUAAUUUGACUCAACACGGGGAAACUCACCAGGUCCAGACAUAAUAAGGAUUGACAGAUUGAUAGCUCUUUCUUGAUUUUAUGGGUGGUGGUGCAUGGCCGUUCUUAGUUCGUGGAGUGAUUUGUCUGCUUAAUUGCGU